RNAcentral lists this ribosomal RNA (523 nucleotides) under Globigerina bulloides. RNAcentral's name for it is "partial 18S ribosomal RNA". The stretch from base 1 to 245 matches the Rfam family "Eukaryotic small subunit ribosomal RNA", at positions 1311 to 1501 of the family's 1831-position model. The record is from RNAcentral. Lineage: Eukaryota; Foraminifera; Rotaliida; Globigerinidae.
CUGUGUAGGAUAGACCUCUGAACAGUACGCAACGAACGCGAUCGUAAUCCCUUGUUGAGUGGCCAUCCUGUAAGCUGCUGGAUUUGAAACCCAGUGGUAUUAUCUCAGCCACAGAUUUUCUGGUUGUAAUGGGCCAGUUUUGAAACUCGGGGAACAUCUGUGACUUUCUUUCUUAACGCAGAGGAAGGUUAUGGCAAUAACAGGUCUGUGAUGCCCUUAGAUGUCUAGGGCUGCACACGUACUACAUUGAUCAACUCAGUAGGCGUCGUGUUUUCUCCAAUAACGUAUCUAGUGGACUUGGUGUCGGGUGCGUGGCCUCGGUCGUGUACUUUGAUUACUGUCACUUUAAACACUGGUCGUUAGACUCGUGCAAUCCAAUAGAAGAGGUGACUCAGUAUCCCAGUACCGUGUUAGUCUCCCGUGUUCGUAGUGGCCCCGCGCAUUGCCAGUCGUAGUGGGUCCUUUGUGCUUUUUUCAAAUCUUAGUGGGGACAGACAUCUGUUAACUUUUUGUCUCGGUCCCA